AGAGUUUGAUCCUGGCUCAGGAUGAAUGCUGGCGGCAGGCCUAAUACAUGCAAGUCGAGGGGCAGCGAGUCGUAGCAAUACGAUGUCGGCGACCGGCAAACGGGUGCGGAACACGUAUAUAACUUACCCAUAGCUGGGGCAUAACAUUAAGAAAUUGAUGCUAAUUCCCCAUAGUAUUAUAGAGAGGCAUCUCUUUAUAAUUAAAGCCUUGGCGGCUAUGGAUAGAUGUGCGGCCGAUUAUGGUAGUUGGUGAGGUAAAGGCUCACCAAGCCUGCGAUCGGUAACUGGUGUGAGAGCACGACCAGUCACACGGGCACUGAGACACGGGCCCGACUCCUACGGGAGGCAGCAGUAAGGAAUAUUGGUCAAUGGACGCAAGUCUGAACCAGCCAUGCCGCGUGGAGGAUGAAGGUUCUCUGAAUUGUAAACUUCUUUUAUUUGGGAAGAAAUCCCUCUUUCUAGGGGUGUUGACGGUACCAAAUGAAUAAGCACCGGCUAACUCCGUGCCAGCAGCCGCGGUAAUACGGAGGGUGCAAGCAUUAUCCGGAUUUAUUGGGUUUAAAGGGUGCGUAGGUGGCUAGGUAAGUCAGUGGUGAAAUCCCCAAGCUUAACUUGGGAACUGCCAUUGAUACUAUCUAGCUUGAAUGUUGAGGAGGUGAGCAGAAUAUAUCAUGUAGCGGUGAAAUGCUCAGAUAUGAUAUAGAAUACCGAUUGCGAAGGCCGCUCACUACACAACUAUUGACACUGAGGCACGAAAGCGUGGGGAUCAAACAGGAUUAGAUACCCUGGUAGUCCACGCCCUAAACGAUGAAUACUCGACAUUAGCGAUAUACUGUUAGUGUCCAAGCGAAAGCGUUAAGUAUUCCACCUGGGGAGUACGAUCGCAAGGUUGAAACUCAAAGGAAUUGACGGA
This 913-nucleotide ribosomal RNA is filed under the name uncultured bacterium. RNAcentral's name for it is "bacterial SSU rRNA". It matches the Rfam family "Bacterial small subunit ribosomal RNA", at positions 8 to 917 of the family's 1533-position model. The record is from RNAcentral.